GGAAAAACGAAGCAAAAUUCAAAGAAAUGGAGCGACUCAAAGAGUGUGUAGAAGAGCUACUGAGCUUCACUCUAAACUCUCACAUAAACCAAACCCUAGGCUUCGACCUCGGCCUCUCCAGCCAAUUCUGCUCCAACCUCCUCCUCCGUGAAGCGAACGACGCUGUUUCAGUCGCCACCGAUGUUGUUGAUUUCGAUCAAGAUUCACUCCAAGGAGUUCCGUUAUGUCCUCUAUACAAACGACUGGCUUUAGCUUUGGUUCGUUCGGUGAGUUGUAGGGCGUUUUGUCGGACGUAUAAUUACGGCGUUUUGGUUCAUGGAGAUGGUUUGCUGAAACAGAGAGAAGACGAGUGGAGUGAAUUGAUUCUGAAUAAGGGAGCUGAAUUGAUCAAUAUUUUGAAGACGGUAGACUUUGAACUUGAUGUUCAGGAACCCUUCUUUUCAUUGAUAAAAGAUGGCCUGAAAACAGUUGAGGGAAGGUGUGCAAUGGAUGAUUACAAUAGACUUCGACCAGGCUCAAUGGUUCUGUUAAAUAAAUGUAUAAUGCUUGAAGUUCAGCUUCACUUUUGUAAUUUCAUUAAUUGGCAGACUGUUCGCCAUUGUGCUUCAUUUUCAGAGUUGUUAGAAGCAGAGACUCUUGCGAAAGUCCUUCCUGGAGUUAAAACUGUUGAAGAAGGUAUGGAAAUUUAUAGCAAGUUUUAUGUGGAGGAGAAGGAAAGGCUCAAUGGUGUCCUUGCAAUAUGUGUUUCUAAAAUGGCUACUCAACCUUACAUUACACUGGCAACUAUACUGUCUGUGAGUUGCUUACUUACUGCAGUAUUUUGUUUUUUGUUUCAUCCGUUGGUAGGUUAAUUUCAUGUUUUUGAUUCCGGGACUUGGUUAUGAGGGCAUUCAAAGCCUUUUGGGUCUUGCACAUACUCCUGGAACGAUUUCGGAUGCACUCCCCCCACCAAGAUCAACUCUUCUGUCAUCAUUCUUGUUGCCAUUUAAACCAAAUGUAGUACCUUAACUCAAGGAGCCAGGGCCUUGGCAAAGCAUGUUAAUAGGAGCAGCAACAGAUACUGGGGUAUUUUUAAUGGAAGUGAUUUAAAACAACCAUAGGAAUGUGAAGAAUGCAGUUCUUCUUUGGAGGUCACUCUUGAGGUUUUGGAUUGCAUAUUGAAAGAUGGUAAUGGAGGUUUGGGCCAUCAAUUGGAAUUCCUGUACAUUAAUAUUAAAUUCUGACAAAAAUAGGCUUGCAAUGGAUGUCAUUUGUCGUUUAAUAGCCCAUUGUUGCUGGUUGAAUGUGCACAUUGUUCAACCUCAUGGGAUUGUCUUUGAGAUAAGAGUAGCUGAUGGUUAUGGUGCACGGUGGUCCAAAGAUGGAACCAAGUUCAUUGGAUUUCUUGAGCCAUACAUGGAAGAUGGUCACUCCAAGGGAUGGAAGCAUUAGAUUGACUUUGGAUAGUUUUGUACUGAUUUUGUUGAUUUAUGCACUUCUUCUAAGACACAUGAGAAAUGAUGGACUAAUUUCUCUGAUUGUUUGGGAAGAGAAAAUGUCUGUAGACAGCUUUCUUCACACAAAAAGGCCCAGGUUACAUGAUUUACCAGUUAUUAUGGCUAUAAUAAUUUAAUGAUGUGUUGCCACCGCCACUGGUAGCUUUAUCUUUAGUCCAUAGUUGUCACCACCAACAUGGAAGGAUGAGAACGAUAUGUAAUUUGAGCUCAAACAGUCUAUCUGUGCUCCUUUUUCCUUUCAGGAAAAGAAAAUGGCGGUGGUGUGGGGGGGAGGGGGUAUGUAAUUUACCCCUAUCACCAACCUGUUUUAUUACUAUAUGGUUAAUCCUCUUAUAAUUAAUAUAUAUGCU
Molecule: RNA transcript, 1846 nt
Organism: Pistacia vera
Lineage: Eukaryota; Viridiplantae; Streptophyta; Magnoliopsida; Sapindales; Anacardiaceae
Exons: 12
Source: RefSeq, a predicted model, not a curated record